Molecule: ribosomal RNA, 265 nt
Filed under: uncultured archaeon
Lineage: Archaea
Description: partial 16S ribosomal RNA
Rfam family: Archaeal small subunit ribosomal RNA
Source: RNAcentral
ACAGUCACACAUUAGAUACCCGUGUAGUCCUAGCCGUAAACGAUACUCGCUAGGUGUCGGCCACGGUGCGACCGUUGUCGGUGCCGUAGGGAAGCCGUGAAGCGAGCCACCUGGGAAGUACGGCCGCAAGGCUGAAACUUAAAGGAAUUGGCGGGGGAGCACCACAACGGGUGGAGCUCGCGGUUUAAUUGGAUUCAACGCCGGAAAUCUUACCGGGACCGACAGCAACAUGAAGGCCAGGCUGAAGACUUUGCCGGAUUAGCUG